RNAcentral lists this microRNA precursor (52 nucleotides) under Canis lupus familiaris (dog). Its description in RNAcentral is "mir-1302 microRNA precursor family". It matches the Rfam family "mir-1302 microRNA precursor family". Lineage: Eukaryota; Metazoa; Chordata; Mammalia; Carnivora; Canidae. The record is from Rfam by way of RNAcentral. RNAcentral also lists the same sequence under 1 other name.
CUUUUAGUACAAGUAUGUCCCAUGCAGUAUUUGGUACAUACUUACACUAAAU